AGUAGAGUGGUGCUACAGAAGCAUGCUGGACUCAUAACCCAGAGACUGAUGUAUUGAAACCAUCCUUUGCUU
This 72-nucleotide transfer RNA is filed under the name Ovis aries (sheep). It matches the Rfam family "tRNA". Rfam says of the family: Transfer RNA (tRNA) molecules are approximately 80 nucleotides in length. Their secondary structure includes four short double-helical elements and three loops (D, anti-codon, and T loops). Further hydrogen bonds mediate the characteristic L-shaped molecular structure. tRNAs have two regions of fundamental functional importance: the anti-codon, which is responsible for specific mRNA codon recognition, and the 3' end, to which the tRNAs corresponding amino acid is attached (by aminoacyl-tRNA synthetases). tRNAs cope with the degeneracy of the genetic code in two manners: having more than one tRNA (with a specific anti-codon) for a particular amino acid; and 'wobble' base-pairing, i.e. permitting non-standard base-pairing at the 3rd anti-codon position. Lineage: Eukaryota; Metazoa; Chordata; Mammalia; Artiodactyla; Bovidae. The record is from Rfam by way of RNAcentral.